GAAAUGCGAUACGUAACGCGAAUUGCAGAAUUCAGUGAAUCGUCGAAUCUUUGAACGCAUAUUGCGGUUUUCGGGCUUGCUCGAAGACCAUGCCUCUUUCAGUAUCGGCUACCCAUCAAUCCGGAAGUCUGCGGACCGAA
This 140-nucleotide unclassified non-coding RNA is filed under the name uncultured fungus. RNAcentral describes it as "sequence contains ITS1". The stretch from base 1 to 107 matches the Rfam family "5.8S ribosomal RNA", at positions 50 to 154 of the family's 154-position model. From Rfam's summary of the family: 5.8S ribosomal RNA (5.8S rRNA) is a component of the large subunit of the eukaryotic ribosome. The record is from RNAcentral. Lineage: Eukaryota; Fungi.